Molecule: long non-coding RNA, 323 nt
Organism: Pristis pectinata (smalltooth sawfish)
Lineage: Eukaryota; Metazoa; Chordata; Chondrichthyes; Rhinopristiformes; Pristidae
Exons: 3
Source: RefSeq, a predicted model, not a curated record
AUGAGCACAGGAAUAGCAAUACUGCAGCUCAAAAAACAGACGCUGGAAGGAUUCAACGGGUCAAGCAUCUCUGGAGGCAAAAGGUGGAAAUCGAUGUUUCAAGUCAAGACCCUGCAUCAGGACUGAGAGGGAAGAGGAAAGAUUGCCUGUAUAUAGGAGUGCAAAGGAGGGCAGGGGGUUGGGACAGAGGCUGACUAUUUUGAAGAACAGGCAAGAUCUCCUGAGAGACACAAGAGACUGCAGAUGCUGGAAUCUGGAACAAAAAAAUCAGCUGCUGGAGGAACUCAGCAGAAGCCCUGCUUUGGCACGUCCCGACAUUGUGA